Molecule: transfer RNA, 68 nt
Filed under: Paracentrotus lividus (common urchin)
Lineage: Eukaryota; Metazoa; Echinodermata; Echinoidea; Camarodonta; Echinidae
Rfam family: tRNA
About the family: Transfer RNA (tRNA) molecules are approximately 80 nucleotides in length. Their secondary structure includes four short double-helical elements and three loops (D, anti-codon, and T loops).
Source: Rfam by way of RNAcentral
ACUAAAGUAGUUUAUAAAAACACCAGCCUGUGGAACUGGAGUAACUGGUUAAAACCCGGUCUUAAGUC